CCACCUACGUACGUGUAUUUGCCACCAACAGACGAGCCGUAUGAGGGACCACCGGGAGAGAGAUUUGAGGACUGAAGAAUGCAGAGAAUAUGCUACAUGGAUUAUUCUGGACUAUACCUUUGCCUCUGUUGUAUCUUUGGAUUGUAAUAAUUCUAAUGGACUUUGGAUGUAUUGCGUUCUAUGUGUGGACUUUGGACAUGACUUAUGUGCAAUAAUUCUAAUGGACUUUGGAUGUAUUACGUUGUAUGUGUGGACUGUGGACAUGAGUUAUGUGUUAAAUGGUGUAUUUGUCAUUGUUUUGUGGAGUUAUAUAUAUGUUAUGCAUUAUAAACUGUCAA
Long non-coding RNA from Panicum virgatum (switchgrass), 338 nucleotides. RefSeq lists it as uncharacterized. The record is from RefSeq and is a predicted model, not a curated record. NCBI's taxonomy places the organism in Eukaryota, Viridiplantae, Streptophyta, Magnoliopsida, Poales, Poaceae. The transcript has 2 exons.